This 265-nucleotide ribosomal RNA is filed under the name uncultured bacterium. RNAcentral describes it as "partial 16S ribosomal RNA". It matches the Rfam family "Bacterial small subunit ribosomal RNA", at positions 793 to 1055 of the family's 1533-position model. The record is from RNAcentral.
GUCCACGCCUUAAACGAUGGAUGCUAGCCGUCAGCAAGCAUGCUUGUUGGUGGCGCAGCUAACGCAUUAAGCAUCCCGCCUGGGGAGUACGGCCGCAAGGUUAAAACUCAAAGGAAUUGACGGGGGCCCGCACAAGCGGUGGAGCAUGUGGUUUAAUUCGACGCAACGCGAAGAACCUUACCAGUCCUUGACAUUUUCCGGACGGUUUCCAGAAACGGAUUCCUCCUAGCAAUAGGUCGGAGAACAGGUGCUGCAUGGCUGUCGU